This 484-nucleotide ribosomal RNA is filed under the name uncultured bacterium. Its description in RNAcentral is "partial 16S ribosomal RNA". It matches the Rfam family "Bacterial small subunit ribosomal RNA", at positions 30 to 507 of the family's 1533-position model. The record is from RNAcentral.
AUUGAACGCUGGCGGCAGGCCUAACACAUGCAAGUCGAGCGGAUGAAGGGAGCUUGCUCCUGGAUUCAGCGGCGGACGGGUGAGUAAUGCCUAGGAAUCUGCCUGGUAGUGGGGGAUAACGUCCGGAAACGGGCGCUAAUACCGCAUACGUCCUGAGGGAGAAAGUGGGGGAUCUUCGGACCUCACGCUAUCAGAUGAGGCUAGGUCGGGUUGGCUAGGUGGUGGGGUAAAGGCCUACUAAGGCGACGAUCCGUAACUGGUCUGAUGGGAUGAUCCGUCGCACGGGAACGGAGACACGGUCCUGAGUCCUACGGGAGGCAGCAGUGGGGAAUAUUGGACAAUGGUCGAAAACCUGAUCCAGCCAUGCCGCGUGUGUGAAGAAGGUCUUCGGAUUGUAAAGCACUUUAAGUUGGGAGGAAGGGCAGUAAGUUAAUACCUUGCUGUUUUGACGUUACCAACAGAAUAAGCACCGGCUAACUACGUG